This 193-nucleotide ribosomal RNA is filed under the name uncultured rumen bacterium. RNAcentral describes it as "partial 16S ribosomal RNA". It matches the Rfam family "Bacterial small subunit ribosomal RNA", at positions 340 to 524 of the family's 1533-position model. The record is from RNAcentral.
UACGGGAGGCAGCAGUAGGGAAUUUUCGGCAAUGGGGGCAACCCUGACCGAGCAACGCCGCGUGAGUGAAGAAGGUUUUCGGAUCGUAAAGCUCUGUUGUAAGAGAAGAACGUGUGUGAGAGUGGAAAGUUCACACAGUGACGGUAACUUACCAGAAAGGGACGGCUAACUACGUGCCAGCAGCCGCGGUAAU